RNAcentral lists this ribosomal RNA (217 nucleotides) under uncultured bacterium. RNAcentral's name for it is "partial 16S ribosomal RNA". It matches the Rfam family "Bacterial small subunit ribosomal RNA", at positions 524 to 738 of the family's 1533-position model. The record is from RNAcentral.
UACGUAGGGGGCUAGCGUUGUCCGGAAUCAUUGGGCGUAAAGCGCGUGUAGGCGGUCCGGUAAGUCCGCUGUGAAAGUCGGGGGCUCAACCCUCGGAUGCCGGUGGAUACUGUCGGGCUUGAGUACGGAAGAGGCGAGUGGAAUUCCGUGGUGUAGCGGUGAAAUGCGCAGAGUAUCAGGAAGAACACCCGUGGCGAAGGCGGCUCUCUGGGACGGU